ACGUGUCUCAGUAACUUCCCUAGAGCCUUCCUAAGCCUUUUAGGUAAAGAGGUGGUCCAAUAUAUUUAUUGGGCCCGUCUACACAUGUGUGCGCUACUAAGUGAUGAAUUGAUGUGGGAUGGAUCGUACAAUUUCGCUACAAAAUGGUAUCAGAGCUCACGGUUCGAUGGGCCCAAGAACAACUCCAAGGUGCGAGGGUAAAUUCGCAAGGCCUCGUGGGUGGAGCACGGGAUGAUUUGAGUCGGGUGGAGCGGGCUUAGGAAGGCUCUAGGGAAGUUACUGAGACACGUUUGCUCCGGACGUGGUGGAGUAAUAUUAGAGUCAAGCAAAGCUCUUGAAGGACUCAAAGGUGAAGUAUUUGAAUCGGGUGGAGCAGGACUCGGAUGGCUCUAGGAAAACUGCUGAGACACGUUUGCUGCUGGCGUGGUGGAGUAGUAUUAGAGUCGAGCAGAGCUCUUGAAGGAUUCAAAGAAGGUGUGCUUAAUGAUGAGAAUACUCAAGUAUGAUACUUGUGAUGGGUAUUCAAGUGAAAGGUGGAGAUUGUUGGGAUAUUUCACAUGAAUCUCAUAUCGGAUAAAUUCAAGAGUGUAGAUGGGUUAAUAAGUAUGUUAGAGCCUCAACCUAAUAGGUUAACCUUUUAGGUAAAGAGGUGGUCCAAUAUACUUAUUGGGCCCGUCUACACUAGUGUGCGCUACUAAGUGAUGUAUACUUAUUGGGCCCGUCUACACAGGUGUGCGCUACUAAGUGAUGAAUUGAUGUGGGAUGGAUCGUACAAUUCCGCUACAAGCAGUGAAUAGAGGUGCGAGGAAAAGAUAUGAGAAGGUUAAAGUGAGAGACAGAGAAAUUGAUCAAUACAGAGAGAAAGAAAGGAGGAAGGAGGAAGGAGGAAGGAGGAAGGAGGGAGGAAGGAGGGAAGGAGGGAGGGAGGGAGGAAGAGAUUAAAUGUGAGAAAGAUAUUAAUUAAGAUACACAAAAAGUGAGGGGUUGGAGAAGAGAGGGUGAACGAGAGAGGGAUAAGGAAAUGAAGGAGGGAAAUAAGAAGGGAGAAUGAUGGGGGGAUAUAUGGAGGGAGGAAAAAGAGAUUGGGAAUGAUUUUGAGCAGAGACUAAAAGAGGUAGAGACUGGAGAAACGUAGUAGAAGAAGAGACGGCGAGUGUGAGGGAGAGGAAAAGGGUGAGAGAUAUUGAAAAGGGGUGAUAGAGAAGGGGGAGAGAAAAAGAUUGUAAUAUAAAGAUGGAUGGAGGAUGGAGGAUGGAGGAUGGAGGAUGGAGGAGGGAAGAUUAAAAAAGAGUGAGAUAAGAGAUGGAGAGCUAGGGAGACAUUAAUUACACUAGAUUAUGUGGCACACAUUAUGCGUGUGCAAUUAAGAGAAAAAUUAAAAUAUUUUAAAAAAAAUCUAAAAAAACAUGGAUGAGAAAAGAUAUGAGAGAAAAUAGGGAUAACAAGUGGGAGAAAGAAAAGAAACUAAUGAUAAUAUGUGAGUUGAGUGAGGUUGUUAUUAGUUUAUCGUUGUGAAUAGAUAAUUUAACUAAAAUAUAACAAUUUUUUAAUUUUAUCAUAAAAUAGACCAACAUAGAGUGAGAGACCAAGUCUCCCUCCCGCUUUUAUAUAUAUUAAUUACAAGAUAUAAAGAGAGUGAGAAGGGGAGUGAUGGAGAGAGAAGGACAAAGAGGAGAGAGAGAAGAAUGCAGAGAAGUAAAAAAAAGACAAAGAUCUCGUACGAGAUGGAGGUAGAUAUUAGAAAGAACCAAAAGAAAUCGGGAGUGAUAUUAAUUGAGUGGGUCCAAGGAAAAAUAUAUUGAGAGUGAUUUAAAGGAUAUAUCGAGAAAAAAGAGAUUGGUAAUACACAUUAGGAGAACAGAGAAAAAAAAGGGAAGGAAGAAAAGUGACAAAGCUUGAGAGAUAAAGAGAUUGAGGGUAGAGUGAUAGCGAUUGAGAAUGUGAGAAGAGAGUGAGAGGCGAGAGAGACGAAGAUGAGGUAGUGAAAGAAAUAAUAAAAAGAGGGGAGAGGAAGAGUGAAAGGGAAGGAAAGAAAAAGAUCUAGAGAGGGAGAUAAUGAUUUAAAUAGCAAGAAUGAUAUUGAGAAUGAUGGAGAGAAAAAAAUCGAGUACUAAGUAAGAGGAAGAAUACGAGAUUAAAAGAGUCGUUAGAGAGAGGGAGAUGAGGGAAGAAUGGAUAACAAGUAAGAAGGACAGAGGAGUUUGAUAAAAUUUAUGGAGGGAAUCAAUGAAGAUGAGAGAAGUGGGAGAGGAGGAUGUUGUCCGCUUUCGUAAUGACAAAUAUGUGCAAGUAUACAUGGUCAAGUAAUAAAGUGAUAAAAUCUAGUGUUGAACCCACAUGAACCCUUAUUUAACAAAUUUAAACUACUAGUUUUAUAUCAAUCAAAUUUUAUUUAAACAACUGAAUUUUGUGAUGAUUAAUUAAAAACGAAGUUAAAGGAACAAAUGCUAAUGUGACAACCCCAAAAUAAGUCCAUUUCACCCAACCUAUUUUGAGUCGCCAAAUACAUGGUACAGAAAACAACUACAACUUUAUUACAACAAUUAUCGUACAAAAUACAACAACACAUAUGCUGUGAGUUUGGAUACAAAUAUAUACCAACUGUGACUCGUGUCCCAACCGUAAUGUGACAAAUGUCCCAUCAGUGGACAGCACCUCACAGUGAUACCUACAUAAAGGUAUAGUCAAAAA
Molecule: long non-coding RNA, 2691 nt
Filed under: Panax ginseng (ginseng)
Lineage: Eukaryota; Viridiplantae; Streptophyta; Magnoliopsida; Apiales; Araliaceae
Description: long non-coding RNA (PGIN_LNC011269)
Source: RNAcentral